GUGGUUAUGAAAGCGCAUUGGCCAAGCUGGCUUUCCUUCCUCUGACCCCCAUCUAACUAUGGUGAACGCCCUCGUUGGGAUGAGGCUCCCAGGCUCCUGAUAGCAGGUAGAGGAGAGAACGAGACCGCAAAGAGGGAAGCCGAGAGGAGUGAUGAAGACCCUGGCCCUACCAUCUACUCAGGCUGUCUUUGCAGCCACACUGUGAGCCCAGGCUGGUUAACGCUUCCUCCUGGAGGAGAAAAGCUAAGAGAGAAAACAAAAUCCAUGCAGCGCGCUCCCCCUCGGCCCCUCCUCUCUGUCUCCUCUGUGCGCUAACCUCCAAUGCCCUGCGGGAACCAAUUACAGUAUUCUAAUGAGUGU
RNAcentral lists this long non-coding RNA (360 nucleotides) under Homo sapiens (human). RNAcentral describes it as "novel transcript". The record is from RNAcentral. Lineage: Eukaryota; Metazoa; Chordata; Mammalia; Primates; Hominidae.